Molecule: transfer RNA, 72 nt
Filed under: Nosema bombycis CQ1
Lineage: Eukaryota; Fungi; Microsporidia; Nosematidae
Description: tRNA-Tyr (GTA) (tRNA-Tyr-GTA-2-1)
Rfam family: tRNA
About the family: Transfer RNA (tRNA) molecules are approximately 80 nucleotides in length. Their secondary structure includes four short double-helical elements and three loops (D, anti-codon, and T loops). Further hydrogen bonds mediate the characteristic L-shaped molecular structure. tRNAs have two regions of fundamental functional importance: the anti-codon, which is responsible for specific mRNA codon recognition, and the 3' end, to which the tRNAs corresponding amino acid is attached (by aminoacyl-tRNA synthetases). tRNAs cope with the degeneracy of the genetic code in two manners: having more than one tRNA (with a specific anti-codon) for a particular amino acid; and 'wobble' base-pairing, i.e. permitting non-standard base-pairing at the 3rd anti-codon position.
Source: RNAcentral
CCCUUAGUAGCUCAGUGGCAGAGCAUUCGACUGUAGAUCGAGCGGUCACAGGUUCGACUCCUGUCUGGGGGA